Molecule: long non-coding RNA, 2610 nt
Filed under: Homo sapiens (human)
Lineage: Eukaryota; Metazoa; Chordata; Mammalia; Primates; Hominidae
Description: PREDICTED lncRNA (TCONS_00156544)
Source: RNAcentral
UUGAGAAUGUUGCCUGUCUGAGCCCUGAGAUGAGCUGAGGGUUCCUCCUCCCCAGCCAGCACCAGCCUCACACAGCCCUUGUAAAUCUGAAAGUGCUGUUGGUAGCAACCAGGGAUGGGCAGAGGCAGCCCUGUCCUGAGGGUGACAUGAAAGUGAGAGCAAGCUGAAGCUCCAGUUGGCUUAGUCUUCAAAAGUGUCACUUUCAGAUUAUAUCCCUCAGCUUUAAAAUAUCCUUCUUUGAAGUCCAUCCUGCUCUGCCCACUAUUUGUCCCCGGUGGUCACUUCCUCCUCUGUGCUCCCGUGGCCUGGGAUUCACACCAGGAAAGAACGCCACGAAGAAGGAAUGACAAGAAAAUGGAGGCAAAGAACAUUGGAGUCACUCCCUGGCUACACACACUGAGGUGAUAACCAAGGUGCUCAAAAAGGGCCGGUGUGCCGCAGUGAGUGCCAGUUUGAAUGAAGGAAGCAUGCGUGGCCUGAAGCCUCACCGUGUUCCAGGCGUCCAGUUAAGUGCUCUGCACAUAAUAUCACACAUUGCGCUCCACGAUAAGAACAAAUUCUCACAUGGGAACCGAGCAAAGUGUAAUGGAUGUUCCCAGGAGCUGCCUAUGGGAUUCAAGAAAACUGUAUGAGAGGAGUAACAUUUGGGCUGGAAGCGAAAAUACAAGUAAACAUAUGUCAAAUGGGGUCUGGAAAGCAAUCCUCCACAGAAAGAAAGCAGAAUCUUCUGGGCAUUUCUGAGCAAGUGGACUUCCUUCAGCUGAGCACAGUCCUCAGGAGAAGCGGACAGGUGCAAAGUGUUGGAAGCCAACACUCACAGCAGUUGGGGGUUGGAGUGCUCUGGCUUCCAACAGCAUUGAAACCAACAGCAUUGACUACAGCGAGUUUCUCAAUCUUCAGAACACAUCCCAGCCUCCCUGGGGGCUGCUAAUGCACAGAUUGCCGUUUCCCACUCCAAGAGUUUCUGAUUCCAGAGGUCUGGGGUAGGGCUCGAUAAUUUGUUCUUCUAACCACCUAAUGCUGUUGGUCCAGUGACCACACUUUGAGAAAUGCUGUACUAUGUUUUCUCAUAUAUUUAAAAAUUCUCACCUCAUUUAUGGUUUAAAACUUCUAGAACAAUUCUGAAUAGUUUUUGUAAUAGUGAGCCUCACUUUCCUGUCUCUGCCCUUAAUGGGAAUGUCUCUAAUGAUUCACCUUUCAUACGGGGACUUGUUGUGGUUUACUGGGCAAUUCCUUUUGGCAGGUUAAAAAAAUUCCCUCUGUUUCAAGCUAAAGCCAUUUACCAGGAAGAGACGCUAAGUUUUAUCAGAGGGUUUUUCCAGUAACUAUUGUGAUAAUCAUGGUUUUUUUUCCUAUUUAUUACGAUAUCAAACAUGAAACUUAUUUGAAGUCCUGGAUUAAACGGUGCUUGUUUUCUAUAAUGUUUUGUUCCUUAAAUGUACUGACAAAUUUAAUUUAUUAUUUUUUUAGGAUUUGAGGUACAAGUUCAUACGUGAUAAUGACUUACUGUUUUGUUUUCAUUAUUUCCUCCUUCCAUCCUUUCUUGAUAUCCUUUUUAUCUCUUGGUUUCAAAAUUACACUAGCGUCAUAGAAUGAGUUGGAAAUUAGCCCAUUAUUCUCCAUGCCAUGGAGUGUUUUGCAAAACAUAAGAAUGAUCAGUUCCUUACAUAUUUGGUAGAAUUUACCUUAUAAAACACAGUAGGUUUUGUGUCUCUUCUGGAGUCCAGAUACUGCUAUGGACUGAAUGUUUGUACCCUCUAAGAUUCAUUAGGUUGAAAUCCUAGCCUCAAAGUGGUGGUAUUAGGAGGUGGGACUUUUGGGAGGUGAUCAGGCCAAGAGGGUGGAGCCCUCAUGAAUGGGAUUAGUGCCCUUAUCAAAUAAGGCAAAAGGAGCUCUUUAACCUCUCCCACCAUGUGAGGACAAAGUGAAAAGACACCAUCUAUGAACCAGGAAGCAGGGCCUCACCGGAUGCCAAACCUGCCAGCACCUGGCCCUUGGACUUCCAGCCACCAGAACUGUGAAGAAGAAAUUUCUAUUGCUUAUAAAUACCCAGUUUACGGCAUUCUGUUAUAGAAGUGCCUAAUAGGCUAAGGCAAAUACUAUAUGGUAUUUAGGAUUGCUUCUGUAUAUUUUUAAGACUUUUUUAUUUUGGAAUAAUAAUAAUUCACAGAAAAUUUACAGAGAAAGUCUCCACAUGCCCCUCACCCCACUUCCCCUAAUGUUAACAUAACCGUGGUCCAUUUGUCAAAACUAAGAAAUGAGGAUUGGUACCAUACUAUUGACUGAAUUACAGACAUUACUUGGAUUUUGUCAAUUGUUUUACUAAUAUUCUAUUAUUUCUGUGUCAGAUUCCAAUCUGGAUAACAUGUUGCAUUUGUUCAUCACGUCUCCUUUGUUUUUCCUGGGCUGUGACAGUUUCUUAUUCUUUUCUUGUAUUGCCUGGCUUUGAAUUUUGAGGAAUUCUGGUUAAGUAUUUUGUAAACUGUCACUAAAUUUUGCUUGUCAGAUGUUUUCUCCUGGGUUAGACUGGGCUUACAGGUUUUGGGGAAGAACUCUACAAAAGGGAAAUGUCUUUCUCAUCUCAUCUAAUAAAUGGAUAUAGGAUAUCAA